CUAUCCUCGAUAGCUCAGUGGUAGAGCAAUCGGCUGUUAACCGAUUGGUCGUAGGUUCAAGUCCUACUCGGG
This 72-nucleotide transfer RNA is filed under the name uncultured Pelagomonas. Its description in RNAcentral is "tRNA-Asn". It matches the Rfam family "tRNA". Rfam says of the family: Transfer RNA (tRNA) molecules are approximately 80 nucleotides in length. Their secondary structure includes four short double-helical elements and three loops (D, anti-codon, and T loops). Further hydrogen bonds mediate the characteristic L-shaped molecular structure. tRNAs have two regions of fundamental functional importance: the anti-codon, which is responsible for specific mRNA codon recognition, and the 3' end, to which the tRNAs corresponding amino acid is attached (by aminoacyl-tRNA synthetases). tRNAs cope with the degeneracy of the genetic code in two manners: having more than one tRNA (with a specific anti-codon) for a particular amino acid; and 'wobble' base-pairing, i.e. permitting non-standard base-pairing at the 3rd anti-codon position. Lineage: Eukaryota; Pelagophyceae; Pelagomonadales; Pelagomonadaceae. The record is from RNAcentral.